Long non-coding RNA from Trachemys scripta elegans, 362 nucleotides. RefSeq lists it as uncharacterized. NCBI's taxonomy places the organism in Eukaryota, Metazoa, Chordata, Testudines, Emydidae. The record is from RefSeq and is a predicted model, not a curated record. The transcript is spliced from 4 exons.
UCAGAACUGCCUGGCUUCGUUCUCCCCCUUGUGCCCAGGGAGCUGUUGGGCCUUCCCCCGGGACCUCUCCCCCCCCCCCGAGCAAGGACAAAGUGAGUUGAAGGUAAUGAAAAAUGACCCACCUGGUAUUUUCAGAAAGCUACCUGGGAACUAUUUACAACUGAGGAUAAGGACGUUCUUCAGGGCCUGACCUAGGACAAUGAAGUGACAAUGAAGGAGGGACUAUGCACACGCUAUAGGGCAGAAGGAACUAAUCAUCACCUGUGAUGGGGGCUCCCGAAAUUGCUUUGCCCCAGCCCCACUGAAUCCUCUGGGCGGCCCUGCCAACCGGAUCAUCCAGCCCAUAUUCUCCCCGUCCCGAG